CCUACGGGGGGCUGCAGUGGGGAAUAUUGGACAAUGGGGGGAACCCUGAUCCAGCCAUGCCGCGUGUGUGAAGAAGGCCCUCGGGUUGUAAAGCACUUUCAGUGAGGAAGAACGCCUGGUGGUUAAUACCCAUCAGGAAAGACAUCACUCACAGAAGAAGCACCGGCUAACUCCGUGCCAGCAGCCGCGGUAAUACGGAGGGUGCGAGCGUUAGUCGGAAUUACUGGGCGUAAAGCGCGCGUAGGUGGCUUGAUAAGCCGGUUGUGAAAGCCCCGGGCUCAACCUGGGAACGGCAUCCGGAACUGUCAAGCUAGAGUGCAGGAGAGGAAGGUAGAAUUCCCGGUGUAGCGGUGAAAUGCGUAGAGAUCGGGAGGAAUACCAGUGGCGAAGGCGGCCUUCUGGACUGACACUGACACUGAGGUGCGAAAGCGUGGGUAGCAAACAGGAUUAGAUACCCUUGUAGUC
RNAcentral lists this ribosomal RNA (465 nucleotides) under Vreelandella stevensii. RNAcentral's name for it is "partial 16S ribosomal RNA". It matches the Rfam family "Bacterial small subunit ribosomal RNA", at positions 338 to 795 of the family's 1533-position model. Lineage: Bacteria; Pseudomonadati; Pseudomonadota; Gammaproteobacteria; Oceanospirillales; Halomonadaceae. The record is from RNAcentral.